GAAUAUAUAGAAGAAGAAGUUGCGUAGCUUUGAGGCUCUUCACAAAAAACACACACCUAUACAGAAAAUAUGCACACAUAUACACAGAGAAGAUAGAGAGACGCCGGGAAAAAUUUUGAACACAGCUGCGCAACUCUUGGACACAGAACCCCGACGAUCUCUCUUCUUCUCCGACCAAACGACCCCCCCAUUGGUUCAUCUCCUCCCCAAACUCAAUUAGCUAAAGCCAUCGAGACCACCAGAGCUCAUCGGAAACCAUCAGAAACAGUGUCGAGCUCACCGGAAAACGAGUUGACACCACCACCAAAGCCUCGCCUGGACACUACUGCUUCAUCUUUCGUCCAUCCUUUAAACCUCAGGACUUUUCUUGACUCAAAACCAGUCCAGUGACCUCUCGUAUUGGGAAAUUAUCUGCGCUUAUGACCAUGUCGAGAUCUGUCAAUUUAAAGCUCGUUGCUUGAAGCUUCGACCAAAGGUUCCUGUUCGAGGUUGUCGCAUGGAAGUCUCCGGCGCUGGUUCUGUCGCCAGGAGGGUAUGCGCCUUCAGUAGGUCCUUUGCCUUUAUGUCGUGUUCAGAAGUAUUAUCCUUCAUGUUUGAUGAAUCGAUUGGCUAAUACUAUUGUUCGAAAUGCUUCGUUAUGAGUUUAUGAAAUUCUACUUAAAAUUUGCGUCAUUUGUAUUAUGUUACGUUUCCAGUUGAGCCUUCUUUCUCAGUUAAGGCUAGGUUUGAAUGAAUUUUAAUUAUAUAAAAGCUAAUCGAAUUGAAA
RNAcentral lists this long non-coding RNA (766 nucleotides) under Nicotiana benthamiana. Its description in RNAcentral is "long non-coding RNA (NBEN_LNC017771)". The record is from RNAcentral. Lineage: Eukaryota; Viridiplantae; Streptophyta; Magnoliopsida; Solanales; Solanaceae.